AAGCAGUCUUCCUGUCCAAGAUCCACCCCAGAGAGCUAGGCAUGUCAUAGGCCAGGAAUAGUUCGGUGCUGGAGCUGGGCAUGGGAAUAGAGCCAAGCAUUUGAGAGGCAGGGACCAGGCAGAUGUCAGAAACAAGAACCAGCAGACGUCCAAAGAAGGCAUCUGUCUGAAGGCCAGGAUGCAAGAUACAGUAAGUAGGCUGCCAGCUGCAAGCCAGGAAGAGGGCCCUCACCAGAAGCCAACUAUGAUGGCACCCUGAUCUUGGACUUCCCAGUCUUCAGAACUGUGAGAAAUAAAUGUCUGUGGUUUAAGCCACCCAGUCUCUGGUAUUUUGUUAUAGCAAUGCCCACAGACUAAGGCAUAUGUCCAGCCUCAGGCACGGCUGGCUAGAGGGAUCAAAGCUGUCCUUAUCACCUUGUUAAUCUGUCCCCGUAUCUCAGCUCUGCUUACUCACCCAAGGCUCCAUUGUCAAGAAAAGCUCAUGUCCCAGUGCAACCCAAGCAGCUCCAGCUUACAUUGCCUCAGGUUUAAGUUGGAAGGACAGCCUACUUUGAGGUCUCUCCUCCCAGCAGAAUCUCAUUGCAUCUCACUGAGCCUGUCAGGGCCACAUGCCCACUCCUGAACCGAGCUCUGUAGCCAGGGAAAGUGAUGUGCUGAUUGCCUUAGGCCUAGGCCACAGGCUUCACCCCUGAGCCUGUGGGUGGAGCAUCACUCAAAGAACCCAGAAUAAGGUGAGGCCACCAGCUCAUCAAAGGACAUGGCGAGGGUGCUGAAGACACAAAGAACACAGCCUACCAAGCAGCUUAACAGAGGCUGGGUGGGAGCCAGGCCAGAUCUCAAAAAGAAACCCUCAGGACCAAGAAAAGAGUGAUACAGCAAAUAAACAGAUCAACACUAGAAAGUAAAUAGAUCAACAUCG
RNAcentral lists this long non-coding RNA (919 nucleotides) under Homo sapiens (human). RNAcentral describes it as "HSALNT0013118". Lineage: Eukaryota; Metazoa; Chordata; Mammalia; Primates; Hominidae. The record is from RNAcentral.